This is a long non-coding RNA of Alligator mississippiensis (American alligator), 2772 nucleotides long. RefSeq lists it as uncharacterized. The transcript is spliced from 3 exons. The record is from RefSeq and is a predicted model, not a curated record. Lineage: Eukaryota; Metazoa; Chordata; Crocodylia; Alligatoridae.
ACAAUCGUCCUUGAUGCGCCCUGGCACCCCCUAACCCAACCCUGACCCCAUCUCCUGCCCCACCCCCACCCUCCUCCAAUACGCCCCGCCCCCCCUGCACCAGCCCCACCCACCUCCGCUCCACCGACUCAGGGCUGUGGCCCCAAGCCACGCCCCUUCUCGAACAUCACAAAGCAGCGGCCAAUGGGAGAGGAGGCGGGAGAAAUGGCGGGAAAUGUGCCCCUCCCCCUGGGGUGUGUCUGUGUGGGGGAGGGGCUGCCCUGUGGGAUGGGGAUGGGGAUGGGAAUGGGGACAGAAAAGCCGAUGGGACCGAGCAGAGAAAAGGAGGUGUUGCGGCCUUUUCGCAGACCCCCCAAAUUUCCCAGGAAGGAGCUGGAAAGCUGCUUCCUUUGGGCAGCAGCAGCGGGUCGCAGACGCUCCCACCUUGCCGUCCCGGUGGCUUCUCCCCUCCUGCUCGCAACCGAGCGUCGUCCCUGCGGUGGCGGCAGCGGCGGAUGCUUGUGCGGCGAGAGAAAACACGCGCCCUCCAGGUAGGUCGAAGCCUCUUCAAUGCAACCUGCUUCUCCUUGUUAUUGUGGUCACGUUUUCCCUCUCCUGGCGUGCUCAGACCGCUUUUUGCCUCUCUUCUCCAGCAUCAGGUUUGGCAUCAGGUUCCCUUUUUGCGCUCCUGCCCAUCACCUGGGUUGCUGGUCCUGCUAGCAGCUCCCAGGCCCUUUCCUCCUCCCUCCUACAUGCAGCCAGGCCGGCUCCUCCUCCUUGUUUACAGCUGCUAGACAGGCCUCCAGGCUUUAGCAGAAGCGGAGGGAAGCCAGGGCCGUGCGACGUGCCAGCUCUGCACAGACUAGCAGCGCUGGCGUGCUCCAUUUUCUUUAACUUCUUCGGUUUCAGCUUCUCACUUCACAUUCAACGCCGCGCUGCGAAGCCUAGAGGUGUGCAGGAGGCAAGCGGGUUUAGUUCUGAUUGUGAAACCACCUCCUGCGUGUACCGUAGGUAGUUUUCGCCGGCUCUUCGGUCUCCCCAGUGAUGCGUGCUGUUAUUAAGGAUGAAUCUGGAGGUAUCCCUGGUUGUUAGGGACCCCCCCACAGCAGGACGCACGGCAAUAGCCGAAGGAAGCUCCCUCACGUGCUGCUUCAGCGGAGACUGGAUGCCGGAAGGUGCUGAAAAAAGGUUGAGCGUAAUAAUAAACAGCCAAAUUCAUUGAAUGAAGACAUUUCCGUGAGCGGUAACCCAAGGAACAUUUCACAGACAUUCAGGCUGGAAGGGACCCCGGAGGAUCAUCGAGUCCAGCCCCCAGCUAGGUCACGAGUCAAACGCCCAGCUGUCAAGCAUCCCCUGCCAUCCAAAUACUGAUUUUUGAGUGUGCAUAUUGAAAUCCCAUCGAGGGAAAAACUGCCACAGAAGGCAGGGCAGAGUUGCACCUUGCAGAAUAACUGAAUCGCAGAUGCGUAAACUUGCACGAGGAACAGCUCACUUCAUCCGAUUUUCCAUGGAAGGGUUUGUCGGAUGCAUCGGUCGCUCGGCUCGCGUCGCCCGUCCGAGCCGGACGCAGAACGCCAAGUAGCGAACCACAUUUUCUAAUGAGAUGAUGGCAGGGAGGAAGAGGUUGCCUGUCCUGAAGGGGGAGUAGCUGCCACAGAGUAAAGCCAGAAGCCUGCAAAUAAGAGAAUCCUCACCUCAGACUAAUGAAAUAUUUAUUCAGCGCCUGGGAACCAUAUGCUCUCACAACUUCAUCCUCUGAAAGUCGAGGAAUUUGGUAGCACAGAUACCGAGAGGAGCUCUCCUUGUUGUUAUGACUUCCUAGAAAGUACUCCGUGGAGUAGCUGAACACCUGCUGCCGCGCUGCCACAUGGUGUGAUUUCAGCUGUUCUUCCCAGCUCGCCAUUGGGAACCUUUCCACCAGGAUAAGCGUGGGUGCGACAGGAAAUGGAGAUGGUGAUUAUUCAGUAGGUGUCAUUCAUCCGUCUGAGUCUUCUGGCACCUGUUGGUGAACCUUGCAAGCCCUUUCCAAGCACCCAUUUUCCACCUUGACUGAGGAGCACAACUCUCACUGCGUUCCAUCCAAAAUUGAAUGAAAACCAAGAGCUGACAUUUUCCGAGGAGUGCCUUGAGUUUAGCGAGGUUUGCUUCGAGUCUAAAAAAGGCUGAGACUCUCUGGUCUACAAAGAUGAAUGCAGUGAAAGGAUCGGCAGUGAACUCCCCACACAGUGUCUUCAUUUCACGCUGUCCUCCCUUUCAGCCAUCGCCCAAGAGCUCUGCUCGGCGUCCAGAUGUGUUGCAAAAAGGAAACAAAGACUUCACUUUUCGAGGGCCCCUCUAUCGAUGCGUCUGGCUGUUACGCAGCUGCGUUUGCGAACAGACCACACAUGCUAUAUUCUGUAUAGCGCUGUCAUGCCUGAUACAAAACCAGUGCUUGAUCCCACCGCUGAAGUAGCCCUUUUAAACAGUGGCAUUCUGGGUAUGCUGAAGUAUGUAUUAUAUACAUGCAAACCAGCUUUACGGCUGUGUAGGCCCAUCACAUGUUGUGAUCUAAUUUCUCUCAAUGUUGUGUAACUGCUAGAGGGAAAGUAGGUCAAAAUAACAGUGAACCUCCGCUGGAGAAAGGCAGCUCUUCCCAGCGUGAGUGUUACCCGGAUUAAUGAGAGGUUCACGCUGCAUAGAAAAUCAAACCCAUCCAUUUUUCCCUUGCUGAAGAGGAGCCAACUUUGGGUGCUGUCGUGUUCUUUGAGAAAAGCAUCAGGGCAGAGCAGAUUUCCUGGGUGGGGACCAGAGAGA